UAGAAGCAUAUGAAUCACAGGAGAAUUUUGCAACCAUGGCACUCCCUUCGGCGGGCUUCAGAUUAUUGGCACCACGAUCGUCGCAAUUGAAUCCGUGGCAUUAUAAUCUCGGCCGUUUUAAAAAAUGGCAUCGUGCUGCAUUGAUGGUCAUUAGCAUUUUUCGUGUGCCCGUCGUGCCCUCGCUCCGUUCGCUCCGUUACUUCCCUGGCCGCCGUCUUCGAGCGUCUUCCAUUCUCCCUUCCCUGGCCGUCGUCUUCCUCAUCUCUCUUGUCCAUGUAGGGGUUGACGAGCGUCUCCGGCGGGUACUGGUCGAUGCAGUCCUCCCAUGCGCCGGCGUCGGCGAGGUCCCUGGUCACCUCCCAGUAGCAGCUGUUGCACUUGAAGCUGGAGCCGAAGGUGACCAUGAGCACCCUGUCCCCGCGCUUGAGCCUCCACUUCGCCUCCAUGUAGGAGAGCACGUACCAAAGGCUGCUCGCGGACGUGUUCCCCCACCGGUGAAGCGUCAUCCCGGCCGGCUCCACGUCGUGGGCGGUGAGCCUCAGGCUCUUCCUCACCGCCUCGAUCACCACCGUCCCGCCGGGGUGGAGGCAGAAGUGGUCCACGCCGGCCUUGAAGUCGAUCUUGGGGCAGCCGGCGUGCUUGUUGCGCGGGGGGCCUGGCAGGAGCUUGCGGAGAAGGAGGCGGGACGCGAAGCGCGCGAGCUCGCGGGCGGGCAGGAUCCGUGGCGCCAGGCGCUGCAGGUUCUCGGUGAAGGCGCGCACGGCGGCCUUGGGCAGCGCCUUGCUGAGGCUGACGCCGAGGCGGCCGUCAGCGUCCUCGCGGUGCACGACGGCGG
Molecule: unclassified non-coding RNA, 835 nt
Filed under: Zea mays
Lineage: Eukaryota; Viridiplantae; Streptophyta; Magnoliopsida; Poales; Poaceae
Description: misc RNA Zm00001eb212560
Source: RNAcentral